AUGUCAAUUAUUUCCUGCAUGUCCCAAAUCGAAAUUUGGAUUAGCAGCUUAUUGAAGAUGCUCGAAGGAGGUUCAUGUUCCUUUUGCUACACAUCUUUAUAAUUGGAGAAUGAACAUGUGGCAUAAGGGGAGUGGGGGAAAAUGAUGUAGUAAUUAUAGGAAUUAUGAAACAUUAGCAGUUGGACAUUGGAGGUUCAACUAUAUAAAGAGAUGUGUUUCUUUAAAUUUUAUGAUCUGCACAUCUAAUUUGUUUUAAUGCUUAAAUGUUA
RNAcentral lists this long non-coding RNA (269 nucleotides) under Medicago truncatula (barrel medic). RNAcentral's name for it is "lncRNA gene12695". The record is from RNAcentral. Lineage: Eukaryota; Viridiplantae; Streptophyta; Magnoliopsida; Fabales; Fabaceae.